RNAcentral lists this long non-coding RNA (949 nucleotides) under Chrysemys picta bellii (western painted turtle). Its description in RNAcentral is "lncRNA (ENSCPBG00000019888.1)". Lineage: Eukaryota; Metazoa; Chordata; Testudines; Emydidae. The record is from RNAcentral.
GAGAUCACAAGGUUCAGGGCCCCUUAGACCCUCGUCAUUCCUGCAAGUUGCUGGUGAAACAGCCCUGUCCUGUCCACGCUGCUGAGUCCCUGCGUUGAUACAAUUGCUGCGGGUUGCAUGCACCACUGCGGGUGCUGGCUCACAGGAAGAGGGAAGGUUUCGGUUCCCCAUGUGGCUGAGGAAUGGAAUACGCCCAGCCUCCUGUACAGAUGGGAAAGGAGACCAGUCGACUCACAUCAGAGGCAACAGGCCGCACCAGCGUGGAGACACAGCUCUGUCAGCUUGGAUCAGAAUGGAUUGUGCCGGCGACAGCAUUAGCCAAUUGCCAGCCAUCCCGGAGUCCGACAGCGAGUCCUCUGAGGAUGAAGAAGUGGCUACGCAUGAGGCCCUCCUCCAGGAGAGGGAUGAAGCUAAAGAGAAGCUGUCUGAGUUUGAGCAAGCGUCACAGAGGCUGCUGGCGGAGCUCUCAGCGCUGGAGGUGGAGUAUGAAAUUGAAGUAUCAUGUCGCAAACAAGCCGAAGUCUACGCAGCCCAGGUGAACAGGGAGAACAAAGAACUGAAGCGGAUCAGCGUGGCACUGCUGCCCAUGUUGAACCAGCUUCCCGAGGACGUGCUGAGUCUGGCUACUGAAGAAGCCUCCCCCUCCGACCCAAGCCGAGAUCCAGCGUAUCCGUACCUGCAGCAGAUCAAAGGUGAGUUGCGCGCCUCCGCCCUGGGGUCCCAGACUGAGACUUGGGAACAACCAGAGAAGAGGCUCUCCCCUAGGAAUCCAUUCCAGGUGCUUACACUGAGCCAGUGCUGGGAUGGGGUUUGGGCAUUUAGCUAGAGCUGUGGGGCAGAGCAGAAACCUCAUGGCUUACCUGACUUUAGACGUAACAGUGCCAGACACCUAGAGAUCCAUGCCUAGGGAGUGGUGUGAGGGGUAUUCCAGGACUUAAUUCAUCUGAAU